RNAcentral lists this non-coding RNA (26 nucleotides) under Rattus norvegicus (Norway rat). Lineage: Eukaryota; Metazoa; Chordata; Mammalia; Rodentia; Muridae. The record is from RNAcentral.
UCCUUUAUUAAUCGUUAGGCGUGGCC